UAAACUGUCCGUGAUCUGGAGUCCAGUGCAGCUAGUUCUUUGGAUCCUGCAAUCAAGAAAUAAAAAAAAAUCUAGUUAAUGAGUUGAACAUAACAUACAACAUACAAUUAUUCCAGCCCCAUUGUUAAAAACAACUAUCACCAAACUAACUGGACUAAUACCAUGUCAUCAAGCAUGUAAUUCAAGGAUCAGAAUAAUUAUACAAGUGUAAAUGUGUAAAGCAUAAGCACAAGUACAUCUACUAAAAGCUUCUCCUUUGAGAAAAAACAUUGCUUUAUAACUUAACGGUGCUGGGCUGAAUCACCCAAAGCACAGGCAGCCACAAGGGCCGGUACAUCGGCAUCCCAUUCCUCAUAGUUGUUAGGUCCGUACAUCCUGCCAAGACUAGUAAGCUCAUGAGCACCAGAGUUUGCCAAGCGACGACAUACAUUUAUUUCAUAAUAAGAAAACCAUAAUUUGAGUUGGUACUUGGUAUCCUCAAUAACAGCAGCAUAGGCCGACGAGUCCACCUUAUUGAUAUUCAGUGCUUCCACCAGGAGUUGCGAGUCCAUUUAAAAAACGACCCUCAUGACCCACAUAUCAGGGGCAAGAGAUAUUGCAUGGGA
RNAcentral lists this long non-coding RNA (605 nucleotides) under Triticum aestivum (bread wheat). RNAcentral's name for it is "long non-coding RNA (TAES_LNC020277)". The record is from RNAcentral. Lineage: Eukaryota; Viridiplantae; Streptophyta; Magnoliopsida; Poales; Poaceae.